CUCGAUCACACCAGUGAGUUGUACUCUGCCGAAGCCUAUAUUCCAAGUCAGAGUCUUUAUGAUCUUCGUUUCUGGUUAACGCGGACGACGCUCUGAUUGCUCGUGUGUCUCCCGGGCGGUGCGUCCGGGUACGGCAGACACACCGCACCCCCGGUUCAUACACUGAACCGAGAACGGGGCUGCUUCCCUGUGAAACGUCCUACUCCACCGUUUUCGAUACGGAAACUCCGUAUGGAACUAGAAUGAGAAUGUGCAGACGUCACGAAAAAAAAUAGCGUCGAAAGGAUUGCCCCUGAGGGUGCAUCUCGGCAGCGAGGGUUCUGGUUGCAGCGCGUUUACGCGGAGCACGUCACGCAUGUGUUGCUGAAUACGCGCUACGACCUGCUGCACAGCAGGUCGCUAUACCAAGACUUUUCACUGGCGAAUAUGCUAUAACCGCACGGGAAGCAGCAGCAGCAGCAGCAGCAGCAGCAGCAGCAGCAGCAGCAGCGGGCAAUGCACAUCACCGUUUCCGAUGCUGUCAGACAAGCAUCGGCUGCUCAGGAGCCUGUGUACGCACAGACGUGGAACUCUAGAUGCAAAGCAACAAUGCAACACCUGAGACGAACCGACAAGUCGCUUUGACACGAAAGGUCCAAGGAGAGCACCCAGACGCAAAGUUUCAGCUGCAUCUGUGCUUCGCCGCGUGAGGCGAAUGGGCGCCUCCCGCUCAGCAACCGAUUCAAUGAUACUGAUUGUACUCGUUUCGCGGAAGCAGUCCAGAAAUGCAACAAGUAAGAAGUUGCAUGCAUUAUGGCUGUACACGCGGCGUGCAAAGUGCACGAUUCCUUUACAGGGGAAUAUUUCCAUGUUUUUUCGGGGGCCAUGGCUCCCGUAACGCCGCUGUCUCUUUGCUCGCUAGGAGGCUUAGCCCGUGUAUGAGCCAUCGACGCGUCAGUCUUGGUCGCACGACAGCAUCGACGUAGCCACGCUGGAGUGCAACCGAAACCGAGGAUUCCUCGCUCGCUUCAGUGUCACCCGAAGUUUCGAGCGCAUCCGUCGACGCAACUCGCCUGCGAAGGAUCUGACUCGCUGCAGCCCUACCCAUGACAGCGAUAUGGGCACAGGGCCAAGUUGCGUUCAGGUCGCCACGCAGGUGCUUGCUUGCCAUGACACAGUACGCGCCACCGUAUGCCUUACGCAAAAUAAUGGUCAGUUUCGGCACGGUUGCCUCCGUGUACGCAUACAGCAACUUGGAGCCGUGUCGGAUGAUGCCGCCAUGCUCUUGCUGCGUUCCGGGAAGGAAGCCUGGUACGUCAACCAGCGUCACGAUCGGUAUGCCGAAUGCAUCUGCAAAGCGCACAAACCGUGCUGCUUUGACGGCAGCGUCGGAAUCGAUUGCACCUGCUAUGCACAGCGGUUGGUUGGCAAUCAAUGCCACACUGCGACCGUUCAGUCGAGCAAAUGCAGUUAGCAUGUUUGGAGCGAAAUCGGUUUGAAUUUCUAGAAAUUCUUCAUCAUCGACGAGGCGCAUCAGAACAUCCCGCAUGUCGUAUGGCGUAUGCGCAUCCGAGGGUACCAGUCGAUCGAGCACGGGUUCUUCGCGGUCGCUGGGAUCCUCGGUGACAACAACUUGGGGAGCGGGAACACGCGCAUUCUGCGGCAGGUACGACAGCAGCUCACGGGCGAGUUGUAUCACGGCAAUAUCGUCGUCGGCGUCUAAAUGGGCAACGCCCGAGAUACGACAGUGAACUGCGGCACCGCCAAGCGCCUCAUCAGUUGUUUGUUCGCCUAGGGCAGCGUUCGUUACGCUGGGCCCCGUCACGAACAUUCGUGCAUGUCGUCUGCUCAUGAGCACAAAGUCCGUGAGUGCUGGUGAGUACACUGCACCACCUGCACACGGCCCGAGAAUCAGGGAAAGCUGCGGGAUGUAUCCCGAAGCCAACACAUUGCGUUUGAAGACCUCUGCGUAGCCUGCGAGCGAGCGCACCCCUUCCUGGAUGCGCGCUCCUCCGGAAUCACAGAGAGCAACAACUGGCGCGCCGACCUCGAUGGCCUUGUCGAUGACCUUGCAGAUCUUUGCGGCGUUGGCUUCGGAAAGAGAGCCACCAGCAACGGUGAAGUCCUGGCUGUAAACGAACACAG
Molecule: unclassified non-coding RNA, 2124 nt
Filed under: Cyanidioschyzon merolae strain 10D
Lineage: Eukaryota; Rhodophyta; Bangiophyceae; Cyanidiales; Cyanidiaceae
Description: hypothetical transcript
Source: RNAcentral